This 648-nucleotide non-coding RNA is filed under the name Unionicola arcuata. The record is from RNAcentral. Lineage: Eukaryota; Metazoa; Arthropoda; Arachnida; Trombidiformes; Unionicolidae.
GGGAUUGUUUUUGGAAUGUUAUUUAAGUUGAAGUUUUUAUAGGGAUUUGUUUUUUCUUAAAAUUUGAUUUUAAAGUAUUUUUGUAUUAGUUUUUUUUAUCUAAGGGCGUGCCAGCAGUUGCGGUUAUACGAUUAAAUAUAAAAAUUUUAUGUUAAAGAUGGUUUUUUUUCUUUUAUUUUUAAAUUAAAGGUGAAAUUUUGAUUUAUUCUUUUUUUUUAGUUGUCUUUUUAAGUUUAUUUUAAAAGAGGAUUAGAUACCCUUUUAUUAUUUUUUUAGGUAUUAUUGGAUGUUCUUGAAACCUAAGGAUUCUGGCGGUUUCUUUUCUUUUCAGAGGGGUUUGCUUUUUAAUCGAUAGUCCUCGUUUAUUUUUUCUCUUUCUUUUAGCUUAUAUAUCUCCGUUUGAAGAUGAAUAUUAGUUUUUCUUUCUUUUUAAAUUAUUAUUUAAUUCAGGUCAAGGUUUAGUUUAUGAAUAAGAUGAAGUUAGCCAUAUAUUUUUACUUUUUUCUUAAUGAAUCUUUUAGGAUUUGUUGGUAAAGUUUUAGUAGAUUUUAAGCUUGAAUUAGUUAAAAGGUAUGUACAUAUUGCCCGUCACUCUUUUGUAAGAUAAGUCGUAACAAAGUAGUUGUAUUGGAAAAUGCAUCUUGUUUU